GUGAGUAUAGUUCAGUGGUAGAGCAUGUGCUUAGCGUGCAUGAUGUCCUGGAUUCAAUCCCUAGUACCUCCA
Molecule: transfer RNA, 72 nt
Filed under: Camelus bactrianus (Bactrian camel)
Lineage: Eukaryota; Metazoa; Chordata; Mammalia; Artiodactyla; Camelidae
Also listed under: 2 other names
Rfam family: tRNA
About the family: Transfer RNA (tRNA) molecules are approximately 80 nucleotides in length.
Source: Rfam by way of RNAcentral